CACCAGGUUGAUUCUGCCUGACGUGGAUGCUAGUUUGCGAGACUAAGCCAUGCAUGCUUGCGAAGUGCGUUGUGCGCGGAGCGGCAGACGGCUCAGUAAUACUGCGAUGAUUUGUUCGGGGAGGCCGUGUAGCCGCGGGAAACUGUGGGUAGGCGGCUGGGCUGCACUGGGUUGCUGGGGCGGUGUCUGAGUAAGUUGCAGCCCUAUUAGCUGGUAGCUAGGGUAAUGGCCUAGCUAGGCGAUGAUGGGAGACGGGGAAUUUGGGUUUGGUUCCGGAGAGGGAGCCUGAGAGAUGGCUACUACGUCCAAGGACGGCAGCAGGCGCGAAAA
Molecule: ribosomal RNA, 330 nt
Filed under: Microsporidium sp. BBRA2 LAG
Lineage: Eukaryota; Fungi; Microsporidia
Description: SSU rRNA
Rfam family: Microsporidia small subunit ribosomal RNA
Source: RNAcentral